GAUGAACGCUGGCGGCGUGCCUAAUACAUGCAAGUCGAGCGAGCAGACGAGGAGCUUGCUCCUCUGACGUUAGCGGCGGACGGGUGAGUAACACGUGGAUAACCUACCUAUAAGACUGGGACAACUUCGGGAAACCGGAGCUAAUACCGGAUAAUAUAUUGAACCGCAUGGUUCAAUAGUGAAAGACGGUUUUGCUGUCACUUAUAGAUGGAUCCGCGCCGCAUUAGCUAGUUGGUAAGGUAACGGCUUACCAAGGCAACGAUGCGUAGCCGACCUGAGAGGGUGAUCGGCCACACUGGAACUGAGACACGGUCCAGACUCCUACGGGAGGCAGCAGUAGGGAAUCUUCCGCAAUGGGCGAAAGCUUGACGGAGCAACGCCGCGUGAGUGAUGAAGGUCUUCGGAUCGUAAAACUCUGUUAUUAGGGAAGAACAAAUGUGUAAGUAACUAUGCACGUCUUGACGGUACCUAAUCAGAAAGCCACGGCUAACUACGUG
Molecule: ribosomal RNA, 497 nt
Filed under: uncultured bacterium
Lineage: Bacteria
Description: partial 16S ribosomal RNA
Rfam family: Bacterial small subunit ribosomal RNA
Source: RNAcentral